CUACUCUCCACCUACUCCUCACCUACUACACACUCACCCUCUUCUAUAUAUAGGAAUCAUGAAUCAUUGUAAUAAACAACAUACAUCAAUCAAUAAUACAUCAGUUUUUCUUACAUGACUCAACUGCUAGAAAAGAUUAGAUGCCUACUUAUUUAGAAGUUAACACAAUGCCUACGGUUAUUGAAAAGUAGAACUAUGUGCUGAAAUUGCUUAUUUAAGUGUUGAAUUAUCAAUAGAAGCUUUAAAGCUGAAGUCAAGUCAUUAAAUGCUGAAACUCUGAAGAAGUUUAAACAUGGUUUUGAAGGCCGGAAGAGUAUGAUAAUAGCUUUAUGUACAUGCUUAGCUGAAAUUGAAAUAUUUUCAUGAGGUGUUAUAUCUUAUUUUUCCUAUUUGUUUUUGAUUGGUAGUGUGUGCGGAUUUGGUUCGUGGUGCCAAGGAUAAGAGGCUGGGGGUGAAGGGACCUGUCAAGAUGCCCACCAAGGUUCUUCACAUCACUACCAGGAAGUCCCCUUGUGGUGAAGGUGAAAAAGCCGAAUGCUCCUUUGGAAACACCAUCCCGAGGUCUAAGAACAGUUGGAGAAUCUGUUGGAAGAUACAUUGUGUGGCGCUUCAUUCAUAUGCUAUCUUUUUUAGUACAUGAUGAUAUAUUCGCAUAUUGAUAUUGGAGCUUACUGUUGAUACUAAAACAAGCUAUAACAUAUAUGUU
Molecule: non-coding RNA, 706 nt
Organism: Camellia sinensis
Lineage: Eukaryota; Viridiplantae; Streptophyta; Magnoliopsida; Ericales; Theaceae
Source: RefSeq, a predicted model, not a curated record